AUACGUAGGGGGCGAGCGUUGUCCGGAAUGAUUGGGCGUAAAGGGCGCGUAGGCGGCCCGGUAAGUCUGGAGUGAAAGUCAUGUUUUUAAGAUGGGAAUUGCUUUGGAUACUGUCGGGCUUGAGUGCAGGAGAGGUAAGUGGAAUUCCCAGUGUAGCGGUGAAAUGCGUAGAGAUUGGGAGGAACACCAGUGGCGAAGGCGACUUACUGGACUGUAACUGACGCUGAGGCGCGAAAGUGUGGGGAGCAAACAGGAUUAGAUACCCUGGUAGUCCACACUGUAAACGAUGAAUGCUAGGUGUAGGGGGUAUCGACCCCUUCUGUGCCGCAGUUAACACAAUAAGUAUUCCGCCUGGGGAGUACGGCCGCAAGGUUGAAACUCAAAGGAAUUGACGGGG
This 397-nucleotide ribosomal RNA is filed under the name uncultured bacterium. Its description in RNAcentral is "partial 16S ribosomal RNA". It matches the Rfam family "Bacterial small subunit ribosomal RNA", at positions 523 to 918 of the family's 1533-position model. The record is from RNAcentral.